GAUGAACGCUGGCGGCGUGCCUAAUACAUGCAAGUCGAGCGAACAGACGAGGAGCUUGCUCCUUUGACGUUAGCGGCGGACGGGUGAGUAACACGUGGGUAACCUACCUAUAAGACUGGGAUAACUUCGGGAAACCGGAGCUAAUACCGGAUAACAUUUUGAACCGCAUGGUUCGAUAGUGAAAGAUGGCUUUGCUGUCACUUAUAGAUGGACCUGCGCCGUAUUAGCUAGUUGGUAAGGUAACGGCUUACCAAGGCAACGAUACGUAGCCGACCUGAGAGGGUGAUCGGCCACACUGGAACUGAGACACGGUCCAGACUCCUACGGGAGGCAGCAGUAGGGAAUCUUCCGCAAUGGGCGAAAGCCUGACGGAGCAACGCCGCGUGAGUGAUGAAGGUCUUCGGAUCGUAAAACUCUGUUAUUAGGGAAGAACAAACGUGUAAGUAACUGUGCACGUCUUGACGGUACCUAAUCAGAAAGCCACGGCUAACUACGUG
This 497-nucleotide ribosomal RNA is filed under the name uncultured bacterium. RNAcentral's name for it is "partial 16S ribosomal RNA". It matches the Rfam family "Bacterial small subunit ribosomal RNA", at positions 28 to 507 of the family's 1533-position model. The record is from RNAcentral.